GGAGCUUCCUCCGGUGGACAUGUUUGUGACAACAGCAGAUGCAAAGCUAGAGCCACCUAUCAUUACUGUGAACACAGUGCUCUCUCUUCUAGCCGUUGAUUAUCCAACUCACAAGCUAGCUUGCUAUGUAUCAGAUGACGGGUGUUCACCUCUCACUCUCUACUCUCUCGUUGAAGCCUCAAAAUUUGCUAAGCUUUGGGUACCCUUUUGCAAAAAGUACCAUGUUCAAGUUAGAGCACCAUUUAGAUACUUCUCUGACAAUCCCAUUUUGUCAAGUUAUAGUCCAUCAGGAUUCCUUCAAGAAUGGACAAAAAUGAAGGUAGAAUUUGGCCUUAUAUAUUCUUAGUUGAAUUUGUAUAUAUGUAUGAUGUCUCCAUCUUUAAUCUUGUAGGAUGAGUAUGAAAAGCUCUGCCAAAAAAUUGAAGAUGCUGUCCAAAAUUUGGCACCUCUGGAUUUUUCUAGAGACAAUGUGGAUUUUGCUCACAUAGACAGCAGGAACCAUCCCACUAUAAUCAAGGUUCUUGUUUUUUGUUUUUGGUAAUUCACACAAGAAGUAAAGCCUCCCAAUAAGUUCAUUUCAUCGGUAAAGGUAAAUUUAUAUGCAAGAUGACCUUUGUGGAGUAGCCAUAUAUAACAGCUCAUUAUAUUCAUUAUAUAUGCUCCACAGUUGGUUGACUGACUAAUAUUGUGGUUCAUCUACUUUUCACAUCCUGCAACUAUUCCUUAAAAUUUUAGUACUGAAACCUAAAUAAACUUUCUAUUGUUAAUUUGAAUUAAUAUUUGUACAGGUGAUAUGGGAGACUAAGGAGAGAAUUUCUAAUGGUCUACCACAUUUGGUUUAUGUAGCCAGGGAGAAGCGUCCUAAUCACUCACAUCAUUACAAAGCGGGCGCUAUGAACGCUUUGGUGAGAAUUAUUUGCUUAACUAGGAAAAUGUUACCAUCUCUCUUUUUAAAUACAUUUGUUCAAUUAGAAAAUUACUGUUAUCUUAGGCUUAAUUAGCUAGUGUAAAAUCCAUGAUUUUACCCAGUGACUAAUAUUUUUAAUUAAUUUUAUGUACAUAGACGAGGGUCUCUGGUGUUAUGACAAAUGCUCCAUUCAUGUUGAACGUGGACUGCGACAUGUAUGCCAACAAUCCAAAGAUCGUUCUUCAUGCGAUGUGCCUACUGCUUGGUUUCAAGCAAGAAAAAGGUGCAUUUGUUCAGUUUCCCCAAAUGUUCUACAACAUUUUGAAAGAUGAUCCAUGUGAAAGCAAAGUGGUUGAGGCUGUAAAAGUACGUAUAUUGGUUUACUAUUACUCCACUUAGACGGAAAAAAACUUGCAGGUCACGUGCUCAUACCUCUAGUCAGGCGAUAGAAAUAGGGAUAUGAACAUGGGGUAGUUAAGUUAGUUUCGCACUAUGGCAGAUUGGCGUACAUGGACCUAAUUAAUGUAGAAGGCUUUAACUUUUGCAGAAAAUUUGGCCUGGGUUAGCUGGGAUCCAAGGACCUUUCUAUGCAGGGACAGGAUGUUUUCACAGACGUAAAGUUUUCUACGGCUCAUCUCUAACAGAUAAUGAAGGUAUCUUAGCAUCCAAGAUAUAUAUUAUCUGUACUAAUGUAUAUAACUAAUCACUCAUUAAUGCUUAAUCAACUUAUAAAUGAUUUUUCUAAGGGAACUUGACGAGUGAGAGACUAAACAAAGGAUGCUUUGGAAAUUCUCCAGAGCUCAUCCGAUCAGCUACUCAAAUUUUAUUAGAGGAAAAUAUUGAUCAACCGGACGACCUUUCCUGUGCGGUCGAUGCAGCAUACCAUGUUGCUCAUUCCGAGUUCGAGCAUGAUACAUUAUGGGGCAAAAAGGUAACGAAAAAUAUUUUUCUCUCUAAUGUUAGAAGAAGUCUCUGCUAAUUGACAGGAGUUUUGAUAUUGUUAAUUGGGCCGACCCUUUUCAGGUGGGUUGGGUUUAUGGGUCAGUAACAGAAGAUGUUCUAACUGGGAUGAAGAUCCAUGCAAGAGGGUGGAAGUCUAUCUUAUGCAUGCCAGAACCACCAGGUUUUCUGGGCGCUGCACCCUCAACUACUCAUGUUAUGUUGAUCCAGAGGAAGAGAGGCAUCACAGGGCUGCUAGAAAUUUUGUUCAGCAAAAAUUGUCCCAUUUUUGCCACCCUUUAUGCCAAGCUUGAGUUUAGGCAAUGCUUGGCCUACCUGUGGAUACUAAUUUGGGGACUGCACUCUAUUCCUGAUCUAUGCUAUGCUCUUCUGCCAGCUUACUGCCUCAUUACCAACUCACACUUUUUGCCAAAGGUAAAUAGAAUCAUCAUCUAAAUAUAAUGUGAUUUUAGUUCGGAAUUGUUAUCAGCAUUUUAAAAUAGUCUCCCGGCUUGCACUCUUGGUUUCUUUACCUUUUUCAUCAAAGAAGAAUGCAUGAUUUUUUUUGGAGUACCAAUAAUAGCUGUUUUAAAAUUUUGUUAAAUUAAGCUUGGUAUAAACAUUGUUAAUGAUGGAAUUACGAAGUUUACAUACACUUCAAAUUAAUCUGUUACCAAAUAGUGUGACAAUAUUUUAAGUACAUAUAAUGAUUUAUGUCGAUUAAAUAAUAUCACAUUUUUUCAUGAAUGAAAUUUGGUGUCCCUAGCUGUACUCAACUCAAACGAUUUUGCUUUGUAGGUCCAGGAACCGGCUCUAAUAAUAUUUGCCGCUGUGUUUCUCAUUAAACACUUAAACACACUACACUCCAACCUUGAUUCUGGUCGAUCAAUUAGGGCUUGGUGGAACCAAUUGACAGUGGGACCAUGGAGCAAAAUACUCAGUCUAACUGCAUCAUUAUUUGGAGUUAUAACUGUGGUAUUUAAGCUUUUGGGCAUAUCUGAGGUGACAUUUGAAGUCACACAAAAGGAGCAAAAUUCCUCUUCUAGUGACCAAGAAGCUACUUAUGAUGCAAGGUUUACUUUUGAUGAGUCUCCAAUAUUUGUACCAGCCACAGCUCUAUUGUUUCUGCACUUCACAGCUCUGGUCACGGCCGCGUUGGGGUUGCAACCACCGGCUCAUGGGGUGAAUGGGGCGGGCCUAGGGGAGAUGAUGUGUAGUGUGUGGGUGGUGCUAUGUUUUUGGCCAUUUGUUAAAGGUUUGUUUGGAGAGGGUAAAUAUGGGAUUCCCAUGGCCACUAUAGUCAAGUCAGCUGUGUUGGCCUUGCUCUUCAUGUACUUCUGCCCUAAGAACACUACAUCCUGAUCAAGUUUCUGAUUAAUAUAAAGUUAGGAAAUCAGAGUAGACAGAGUUGUAAUGUUCUUGUCUUUCCUGAUUGUAUUUGUAUAACGAUGAAAAAAAUGAAAAAAAUUAUAACUUAUUUUAUUAAGUGUUUAUUUCAAAUUUAAUGGGUUCUCACAUGCAUCACCUUUAUGGAUUUGAUGGCUAUCUAGUUAUAUAUCUUGGGAGAAACAAGUGCAGUGUGGCACAUAAAUGAAAACUACGAAACAAAAGAGGACAAAACUAAACUAGCAUGUCGCCAUUUGAAACUAAGGAUUGUUAAUUACAUAAACUUAGGAGAAAUAGGGAGCACAAAUCAUCUCCAAUGGUGCUAUCUAUUUUUAAGUCAAUUUAGUUAAAAAGACUAGAAACUGUUGAAGGACAAUUUAGAGAGUGAGGAUAGGAGAGGGACGGCAAGAGAGAGAGAGAAGGAAGCUCAACGAUAGUAUUUUCACUUAUGCUCCUUGGUGCCUUAUGCCUUUAUUUAUACUAGCCACCUGUACUUUUCUUGCCUCACAAGUAAUACAAGCCAUAAAAGAUUAGAUAUCCAAAUCCUAUUGGAAUCUUGCUUCUAAAUUUAUACAAUCACAUUCCUAAAGAUAUUAACUACGACUUACUCUUAAAGUGUAACGUUUAAGAAGUUAUUGCAUCGAGUCUUCUCAGAUGAUUAUUGAAGUCUUCGAUCGGCAUAGGCAAUUUCACACGCGAAGUGCGACAAAACCCAAAGCGUGAGAAGUGUAAGGUCGAAGUUUGAAGUAAUCAAACAGUGAUGAACGCUCACAUCAAGGUAUGACCAACCUAAGACCUCAGUUAAAACCUUGUCAUGAUAUCAAAGCCUAAUGGGACAAAUGCUCCUGAACUAAAAGAAAAAGAGUACAUUAAGGUCAACUUCUACUACAUACUAUCCUUGAGUUCGACAAAACUCCUUAAUUAGACUGUAAGCAAUGUAAAUCAGACAGUUUACGCGUUCCAAUCUUAGGACAAGCUUCUAAAAACUGAAUUUCGGCAGUGACUUGGUGAGGAGAUCAUUGAGAUUGUCUGGGAACUAAUUCUCUUGACUUCGAUCUUCUGAUGCGCUUGUUAAGGAUGAGAGGAAAAAUUUUGGCGCAAUGUGCUUGGUAUGGUCUCUUUUGAUGUAUCCUUUUUGAAUCUGGUAUCGUUGUGAAUGAGAGAAGAAAAACAUGUAGAAUUAUCCUCAAAUAUCAUUGGGACGUCAUCAAAUAUCAUUGGGACGUCAACAAUGGACGAUAAUUCACAAGUGCUUUGACUAUGCUUGACAACGGCUUUAAGCGAUGUACGCUCACUAGCAGCCACAUAGAUGGUGAGUAUCACACCAUGGUUCCAGGACAUAACAACUAAAGUCUGCUUAGUAGACUUCUAAGAUAUUUGCAAUUUUAUCAACGGUAAAGACAUAACCCAUUUAGGGCCUUGCUUUGUACGGGUCAAAUAAGUACCUAGCAUCAGGAUAACGAAACUUAAUUAUGCUGAAAAAUCUUUUGAUUUGUAUAUGCAGGUGGCCACAUUCAUAAUGGAGAGGAUUAUAAGUGCUGAGGGACAUAAGUACUGCUGCGCUUUCACGGAUUGAUUUUUCGUAAUCACAAGCUCUUAGGAAAAUGCUCGACAUGAUUACUACUGUAGGGCCUUCCCUCCGGCUGCUUAAACUUAUCGUUCGUUGCUAUAUGAGGCUCGCACAAGGCCAAAAGUAAGUUACUCCUAAUAGUUAAUACUUGUAGGUCUAAGCUCGUCUUGAGUCUUGGACUAAACAAGAUUGGAAUUGAGUUCAAGCCAGUUCUAACAUAUGUGUGUCUAGUACAAUUUAACUAGUUAAAUCUCAACAAUUUCAAGUUUGUUAAAUAUUGGUCGUCAUUUAGUCUAAUUUAAUUGAAAUAACCGCCUGUAACACUCUAGAUAGGACUUGUAACAUACAAGAUGUUGAACCGUUCUCCACUUUAACUAUUCCAGUCUUAACAUUAAAAGUUCACCAAACAUCGAAUGUUAUUAGUCUAAUUCAAUUAAAAUAGUCGAGUUCAAGUCAAGUCAGCAAAUGAUCAACAUAAUUAUUGUCAAUUGAUGAAAUUUUUAUUGCAGGGACGUUGACCACAGAAAGUUGUGUCUUCCUAAGAGGUUGAAGGAUCGUAAAGUCAUUAACCUCAUCGCUGUAAGUUCUUCGAAUACAAUUUUUUUUUUUUUGGAUUGCUUCCCGCAACCCGUUUAUUUUUACUGAAACAAUUCUACUUGAUUUAAUUUCCAGGACAACCCAACCGCCAUGGUAUGCAUGAGACUGGCUUGUUCGGUGUCUUACAGCGACGAGAAGGGCUCCUCUGAUAGAGGCGGGCGCGGAGGUCGAAAACAGGCACCCGGGCGCGGAGGUCGAAAACGGGCACCCGGUGAAGGCUGCACAGGAGUAGCAGACGAACCAUGUUAUAUUCACCUAUGCUGGUCAAUCUCACCAGAGAUGAAAUACCAAAGCCAUGGAGACUGAAAACUGUUGUAAUAUGUUUGCUUUUAAUGUGCACUUUGUUUUCAAUGUUGUAAUUUACUUUUCAUCUGUAUCAUAUUUUAGUGUUUGUAACUAUUGUAAAAUGUUAUUCCUAGACGGACUGCUGUUGUUUGUCUCAAAAGUUGCGUCGUCUUUUAUUGCAUUUUUGGCAUGGUUAGAGUAAGUCCCACAUCGGCCAUGUGAGAAGGAGUGAUGGACUUUAUGAGGUUGUCUCGAUCGUCAAUGAUCACGACCUUACUUGAACAGGAUCUGUUCUAUAGGUUGUGAUAAAUUCUGGUGAGUUAGUUUGGUUCCUGGAGGCAGACAAGAAAAUGAAAACAGAGAAAACAAAAUCGGGGGAGGGAAUGUGAAAGGUUUCUUAUCUGUGAAGUAAUCACAGAUAUUUCAAUAAAUAUCAACUUAGGAUAUUUCCUUACAAGCUAAUCUAGAGCAAUCUCAGCCCUUGAUUCAAAACAAAGAUCUAAAGCAUACACUUGUCUUAUGAGACUAGACAUACACUUUUCUAUUGAUUUCUUCCUUCUUAAACACUUGAACAAAACUGAAUUCUAUUUAAUUCCAACACUCCCCUUUAAAUGAAUUCUGGUUUUGAUCCCAAGCAUUCCUCUGAGAAUAGACAAAACCUUUCCCUCGGUAGAGCUUUGGUGAAGAUGUCGGCCAUUUGAUCCUGUGAUUUGCAGUAGAUCAGUUCAAUGGUAUUCUCCUGCAAGGCUUCCCUUAUGAAGUGAAACUUCCUUUUGAUAUGCUUGGUUUUCUGAUGAAAAAUAGGAUUCUUGGUCAUAGCUAUUGCUGAUGUGUUGUCACACAUAAGUGGUGAAGCAUCCACUUGCAUUCACUCACCAAAAUCCUUUAACACAAACCUCAACCAUAUAGCUUGGGAGGUAGCCAUUGCAGCACUCACAUACUCUGCUUCAGCCGUAGACAAUGCAACACUUUGUUGCUUGACAGAAGCCCAAGAAAAUAUCCCAGAACCGAAUGUAAAUGCAUAUCCUGAGGUACUUCUCAUGUCAUCUUCACUGCCACCCCAAUCGCUGUCACAGAAGCCUACCAGAAUUGCUUUUUUCUCCCUUUUCAUAUUUGAUUCCAUAAUCCAAGGUCCCUGAGAUAUACCUUAGUACUCUCUUAGCAGUUCCCAUGUGAAUUCUCGUGGGAUUAUGCAUAAACCUUGAUAAGAGACUGGCUGCAUACAUAAUGUCAGGUCUUGUAGCAGUCAAAUAAAGCAGACUUCCAACCAUCCUUCGGUAUAAGCAUUCAUCAGCAGAUUCAGAACCAUCCACUUUACAAAGUUUCUCAUUCGUGAUCAAUGGUGUUGCCACAGAUUUGCAUCCUUUCAGAUUGAAUCUUUCAAGCAGUGAUUGUGCAUACUUCUGUUGAUGUAUGAAAAUCCCAGUGGUUUCUUGUAUUACUCCAAUUCCCAAGAAGUGAUGCAACAAGCCAAGAUCCGACAUCUCAUAUUUGUCUCAUCAUUUCCCUUCUGAAUUCUUCAAUCAUUUCUUCUUCACAAUUACCAGUAAAGACCACAUCAUCAACAUAUAUAGACACAAUAAGCAUCUCAGAGUUCUCACCAGUUUUUGUAUAUAAUGUUGCUUCACUAGGACUUUUGUUAAAUCCACUCUUGCUGAAAUAGGAGUCUAUCUCACUGUACCAAGCCUGGGGGCUUGUUUGAGUCCAUACAGUGCUUUGUUUAACUUGUAGACCUUCUCCUCUUUAUUUGGCACUUCAAAUCCUUGUGGUUGAUCCACAUACACUUCUUCCUCCAAAAUGCCAUUUAGAAAAGCUGAUUUGACAUCUAACUGGUGAAGUUUCCAUCCCUUUUGGGCAGCAAGAGCAAUCAAGGUUCUAAUGGUGUCUAACCUUUGCCACUGGGGCAAAGGUUUCAUUGAAAUCUACCCCAGGUUGUUGUGAGUAGCCCUUGGCAACUAAUCUUGCUUUGUUCUUCUGUAUUGAUCCAUCCAAAUUCAGUUUGAUCUUGUAAAUCCAUUUCACACCUAUCACAGGUUUAUCACUCGGUCUAUUUACCAAUUUCCAAGUAGAGUUUUUUUCAAUCAUGGCAAUUUCUUCACUCAUUGCUUUCUGCCAGGAUUGAUCCUUCUCAGCUUCUUCAAAACUCUCAGGUUCAACAACACAAUAGUUACACACUGCAUAGAUCUCAUUUAAACUCCUCAUUCUCGAUGGAGUUGUUUCAGGGGAGGAAUCCUGUAAUUCUUGUCCUUCUGCAUUUGAAGUAGAGGACUGAGAUCCUUGUGUUGGAGUUGAAAAAUCAGUUUGACUCUCAUCUUGUAUAACAGGUUCAUUCACAUUUUGCACUUCAGCUUGUGCUUCUUCCAUUGCUAGUGGAAAUGAGAUAGUGUCUAUGUUAUUGGUUUCCCAAUUCCAUGCUUCAUUCUCCUUGAACACCACAUCCCUUGAGAGAAUCACUUUACGUGACUCAAUAUUGUAGAGCCUAUAGCCCUUUUCACAGCUUCCAUAACCUACAAGGACACACUUGACACUAUUGAUCUCAAGCUUGUGUCGUAGUUGAGAUGGUAUCUGUGCAUAGCAGAUUGAUCCGAACACCUUCAAGUGCUUCACACUUGGUUUUCUGCCACUAAAUGCCUCAAACGGUGUUUUCUUCUCAAGUGCUUUAGUUGGACACCUGUUUAGGAGAUACACAGAUGUAUUGACAGCUUCACCCCAAAAAGAAAGUGGCAUUUUCUUAUCAUGGAGCAUUGACUUGGUCAUUUCAACCACGGUCCUGUUCUUCCUCUCAGCCACACCAUUCUGUUGUGGUGUGUAGGCCACUGUCAAUUGCUUCUGUAAUCCUGCUCCUUCACAGAAUUCUUGGAACUCAAGUGAAGUGAAUUCACCACCUCUGUCGCUUCUUAGUCUUUUGAUCUUGAGACCACUCUGAAGUUCAACCAUCAUUUUGAAUUUCUUGAAGAUUGAAAAGACUUCACUCUUGUUUCUCAUAAGAUAUACCCAAACCAUCCUAGUGCAGUCAUCAAUGAAUAGCAGAAAAUAUCUGUUCCCACUGAGUGUAGGUGUCUUCAUUGGACCACACACAUCUGUGUGUAUGAGUUCUAGAGGUUGACUUGCUCUCCAUGCACUUCCAGUUUCAAAAGAGUCCCUGUGAUGCUUCCCCAGUAUGCAACCUUCACACGGUUCUUUAGUCUCUUGUAACUCAGGAAGACCAGUCACCAUUUGUAGUUUCUCCAAUCUCUUUAAACUGUGAAAGUUGAGAUGUCCGAACCUCUUAUGCCAUAUAACCAAGAGUUUUCUGCAACACUUGCUUUUAGAGCAAUUGAAUCAUUGUAAUCUAGCAUAAGUGGAAAGCUUUUGUUUUCUGUCAUGCCAACUUGUGUUACCAAGUUUUGGAGGCUUCUGUCAUCAAAGAUCUCCACCAUAUUGUCUCCAAAAAGUAAGAAGUAACCAUGAGCAAUCAUCUGUCCCACACUAAGGAGAUUCUCAUCAAGACCUGGUACAAGUAUUACAUCCUUGAUGAAUCUUCUUCCACCCUUUGUCUCUAGAACAAGAGUUCCUUUUCCAGUAGCUUCCACUAGUUGUCCAUUCCCCAUUUUAACUCUGCAAUUGAAGCUUCUGUCAAUGUUGAUCAGUAAGGAUUCAUAUGCAGUCAUGUGAUUACUGCAUCCACUGUCAAUAUACCAGAUUCCUUUCUUGUUUUCAGUUUUUGCAACACUACAAGCAUAAAAGACAUUUACUUCCUCUUCUUCUGCUCUAUGUGCAUAGUUGACAACUUGGUUCCUUCUUGGAUUGCAAUCUUUUGCUAGAUGGCCAAAUCUGUCACACUUGGUGCAUUUGGGUUUUCCCUUGAACCAGCAAACACCAUAGUGUAAUUUGUCACAGAUUUUACACUUGGUUUUGGUAGACUCACUACUAGAUUCUGAUUUUGAUUGUGAAGUAUGGUUGUUGUCCCAUUUCUUCCCUUUUCCUUUCCAUAAUUUCUUUUUAUUUGAGUUGCUCCCCUGACCCCUGUAACUGCUAUCUCUCUCAGUCACACUUAGACUAGUAAAAGCCUUUUCAGCUAAGUUUUCAGAAUGCAUAUUUAACCUCUGCUCAUAGCCUUUCAAUGUACCAAUCACUUCUUGAACCUCAAUGGAGUCAAGGUCUUUAGUUUCUUCUAUAAUAGAUGCAAUGGAAUCAUAAGAUUUAGGCAAGCUAAUAAGUAUCUUUUGCACUAAUCUUUGAUUUGUCAGUUCUUCACCAAGAGUUUUCAUUUGAUUCACAAUAUCAGUCAAUCUUGUUAAAUAAACAGAUAGAGCUUCACCAUCAUUCAUCCUAGUGUACUCAAAAUCUCUUCUUAAACAUUGUAGUUUGACAGACCUAACCUUUUUAUCACCACGAAAUUCUUGUUGAAGAACAUCCCAUGCAGUCUUGGAGGUUUCAAAGUUUGAGAUUCGAGGAAAGAUCUCAUCAGACACUGCCCCUUGAAUGAUACCAAGAGCUUUUGCAUCUCUUGUUUCAUUAACUUUCAUUGCUAUCUUCCUCACAGACUGUUGAUCUUCAUCGCUAGAAUCAUUUUCAGUUUCUAUAGUUUCAUAACCCUUGUCCACCAAAUUCCAGAGAUCAUGUGAUUUGAAUAUGGUCUUCAUCUUGAUGGACCAAAAAUCGUAGUUGAUCCCAUUGAAAAUAGGAGCCCUCAGAUCUCCUCCACUGCUCGAAGUAACCAUGUGAGGCUUUGUAAGAACAGAUGAGAUUUUCACGAUCUGGGUAUGUUUUUCCCCUUUUCUUUUCAGAGAUACGAAGCACACACACAAAACGCCCAGUCCUGAAUUUGAUCAGAACCUAAGCUCUGAGGCCAUGAUAAAUUCUGGUGAGUUAGUUUGGUUCCUGGAGGCAGACAAGAAAAUGAAAACAGAGAAAACAAAAUCGGGGGAGGGAAUGUGAAAGGUUUCUUAUCUGUGAAGUAAUCACAGAUAUUUCAAUAAAUAUCAACUUAGGAUAUUUCCUUACAAGCUAAUCUAGAGCAAUCUCAGCCCUUGAUUCAAAACAAAGAUCUAAAGCAUACACUUGUCUUAUGAGACUAGACAUACACUUUUCUAUUGAUUUCUUCCUUCUUAAACACUUGAACAAAACUGAAUUCUAUUUAAUUCCAACAGGUUGUACCUCUGUAUCCUUGAUUUCUAAGGAGACAGGAACCUCAGUCUGGUGGAUGAACCAUGACCGUGUGAUCAGAGCGUGAUUAACAGCUUUGUGAUCCUUGGAUCAUUCGAGCGGUAGAUGAUCGUUCUCAGCCGUUGUAACAACCGGUUGGGGUGGUCACACGGUUGUAUGACAGACCUCCCUUCUAAAUUUUUUUUUGGUUAAAUUUCAUUUUCUUCAAUUCUUUCUGCACUUGCCUUUUGGUUCUCAAAUUCACAUUCCGUCCGAUCACAGGCACAAUUUUUUUGGUUAAAUUUCAUUAUUCUUCUUCAAUUCUUUCCGCAGUAUUGCAUCCAAGUUGCGCAACAAACAUUGCAUGCUAAAAACAUAGACAAAUUACGCCUCAAUCUUUAGAGGGCGGAUGUACUACGUCUUGCUUGGGAGGGAUUGAAAGAGUGCUUUCGAGCAUAAACGAGAGAUCAUGCAUCUGUGACAUUAUUCUCCAUAUCGUCAGAUUUUGACCCUGCUCUUACACUGGAAACAUCACCGCCCUCCGCCACAUCUCAGAUUUUUUUUUUUAUGGUUUGUGCUUGCAUCAACCAACCUAAACACGCAACAGAAAUGAGGCGUUAACAUAGGUUCUUUAAUGAAUGAGCACAUGCAUCUUCCAUGAAGCUUCACGUAUUAUAUUAUUGAAACCAGCAAAUAUAGCAUUUCACGGUGAUUCGAAACAGGAUUCUGCAGCUAUUAUAGCACCCAUAUAAGUUGGCUUAUACACGCACCUGUUUAAUACAGAAGGCUCUGGCUGACUCUAUACGCUACAGUUGAACUGUUGGAACUGUUACAUGCUCCUGUUAAGAAAUCUGGUUGCAAAAAGCUACCAAAAUCCAAGUCACCGGAGUUGCUAGUGCCAAACAAAUUUGUUUCUGAAGUGUGGUCAACAGAUGUAGUCUGAUUAAUACUUUGUUUUACAGAAUUAUCUGCAAGAUUUGAUGCAUUAUUCGAGCUAUCAAAAUCAUUCCAAGCAUCGAAUGAAUCAUCACCCGCAUCAGUAGUCUUAUGAUAAAGAGCGUUGUUGCUGAUACUACUUUGUUUUACAGAACUAUCAACAAGAUUUGGUGCAUUGCUCGAGGAAGGAUUUCAGAAGCUUGAGGAAGGUUUUCAGAAGCUAGAGGAAGGAUGUCAGAAGCUAGAGGAAGCUUUUCAGAAGCUAGAGGAAGGGUUUCAGAAGCUUGAGGAAGGUUUCCAGAAGGUUGAGGAAGUGAUUCAGAAGCAGCAAACUGAAAACUUGCUGCCCAACCAGAAUCACCACUCUAUCCUUCAGUAGUUUGCACAACUGUCUCAAAACGCUUUACAUUCUCAAACAACCUAAGAGUUUCAUGACCUUCGAAACUCUUUACAAUCUGUGUGCUAGACCCGAACAGCUCUUCAGAAUUACUUGGGCGGAUUGGGGGUCUCAUUUGGGAGAUCAGUCUCAAUUUUCUCUGGCUUAGAGGUCCAUUUUAUUUCAAGAUUUAAGAGAUCAAACAGACAACUCAUCCUUCCGCGCGCAGUCUGUGCUCUGUUUAAUUCAUUUGCUUCAGCACGUAAAUUCACUGGAAAUUUUGAGUAGAAAUAUAUAAUAAAUAUAUAUAAUUAAUUAUCAAAAAAUGAGCUUGAGUACCGACUCUCAUAAUUAAAUUCGUUGAUUCAUUAAUUAUUUUUAAUUAAUUAAUUUCAGAUUUAAUUUUUAAUUUAACAAACUCAUAUUUUCAGAUGAAGUCUGAAGUGAUGAAAGAAUGUCACCCCUUUGAGAAUAUGUCUCUCAAAAGGCGCAUCCCAUAUUCAUACAUAUUGUGAAUAACCAUAACUCAAUUAUAUAUACAUUCAUCUGCAUGACAUUUAAAACACAGAAAAAUCAAAUUCAUUUUCUACAAUCCCAAACCUUCUUACUAAGAGAACCACAAAGAAAUUCGCCAGAAGUCUAGUUUCUCGGUGCUGGAAUCUUGACUUAGAUCGUUGAAUCCUGAUGAAGCAGACGUUCGUAGAACUACAAGCAUAGAAUAGGGACAAAAUUAUGUUUCAAGGACAUUGCGGUACGCAAGCCUCGAUCUUCAGUUUAUCUAUUUAAUAUUAUUUCAUUUUGUUCAUACUCUGUUAAAUUAUUUAUUAGCAUAUAUAAAUUUAUCAUUGAUUGUUGAUAUUUAUCCAACACAAUCUCCUACAAACCAAAGUGUCUAACUUUGUUACGUAUUCAAGAAGCCCCACAAAAUUAAUUUCGAAGUCUCUAUGUUAACGAGAGGUCACAUAAACCUCAUUUCUAGCAAACAAACGAUAGGCAGACAAAACUAUAAUUUCCCACUUACAUGAUGGUUUAUGGAUGACAAUUCUAACCAUCAUACCCCGAUAAUUGAGGAUAACCGUCCAUAUGAUUGGAUUUGGGUAUGAAAAUUCAGAUAUAUUUUGGGUAGGGGAAAAACCAUGAAUAUUAUUCGGUUUAUGAUUCUGGAUAUGGUUAUAGGGUCCCCAAUCCGUAUCCUUCUCCCGAAUCUGAACCGAAUGAUAUAUAAUAUAAUUAUAUAUAAUAUUAAAGUAUAAAUAAUACACACACACACACACAUACAUGUACAAUCAUUAUUCACCCAAUCUAUUAACUUGUGAAUACAAAAAUUGCAGUGUGAGUUGCAUUUUGUGAGAAAGUUCAAAAGUUUUGAUAUGAAUUAAAAUUUAUGAGAAGUCAAUAAUACUUAUGGGAGAUAUCAAAGAUCAGCCAACAUUUUUUUUUUUUUAUGUAUUGACAAAAAUGGAUAUAACCGUUAACCGAUGAGGAAUCCGUUACCUGAUGGGUAUGGUUAUGGAUAAUACCCGAUGGUUAAUUUGCGGAUGGAUAUGGUUAAUUUUUGUGGUUAUGGAGAUGAAUAUGGCAUUUCCGUCCUCAGACCGAACUGUUGCCAUCCCUAAUUUCAAGUGUGAUCUGCUUAAUAUUGAGUAGUAACUACUAAUUAGAUGUUGAUACAAAUCUUAUACAAUGUACUAUUUCUACAUCUCUGCAUAAUCUCAAAACCACAGCUUCAAGCAUUUAAGUUUUCCAUGCACUAUAUAUUAACAUAAAUAGCUUCGAAUCAAAAAAGGAAUUUUCAACAUUAUUAAGCUGUUGGGCGGCUAGAAAAAGCUGGUAAAACAGAUUUAGCAAACUAAAACAAUCAAAGCUUCAAUCUUUUUCAUCAUCUACAAGCAAGAAACCAUAAAAUAUGCUACAACAUCUUGCUAUACUUAAUAAUUAAAUCAGUGUCAUUUUCUUCUUAAAAAAAAUUCACGAUGUUAUUUCGGAUGAACAAUGUAUUUGGACUAAGACCUAACAUUUGUUUCAAGCUUACGUAGACAAUUUUAACUUGAAAAGUACCAAGAAUGGGGACGCAACCAUGUGUGGAUGUACAGUCAGUAAUGCACAUGAACAAUUCAUUCAGAGUGUACAUGUAAACAAACUUAGAAGGCGAAUAAUUUUUAAUUUUAAUUUGCAUAGUCUAAUCAGGAAAUUUUCAAGACAAAACGGUAAAAUCUUAUGGCAAUUAAGGGUAUGAUGAGCUAGCUUACACCAACCUAUAAAACCUGUUUCCAUCCCGUUUGAAUAACUCUUAUGGUCAUCAAUUAUUCUUGUAGUUCAGAUAAGAUUAGGACCACCACUUCACCGAAAGCCGAGAUAUAGAGGCAGACAACAUAUAACGAGAUAGACAUAUAAUUUCUACAAUGAUUGAUGCUGGCGCCGACCAUCUAUAUAUAUAUAUAUAUGUGUGUGUGUGUGUGUGUGUGUAAACCGCCUUGGACCUGAAUUCUAUCCACAGUAGUACACCUUCUUAUCUUUACCUAGCCAAUGGAAAAUCCUCAAUCUCUUCUUCUUUGUGAAAAAACUGCCCUUAAAAUCAAUGCACUGCAGAAAACCUUAGAAAUUGCAAUUCUGUUCCUCUUCGUCUUUGUCCUUGUUUAUCGUCUCCUCUCUCUCAGAGACCAUGGUUUUGUCUGGCUUCUUGCCUUCGCGUGUGAGUCUUGGUUUGCUUUCAAUUGGGUUCUUAUUCUCAUCACCCAAUGGACUCCUGUUGAAUACAAAACAAACCCUCACAACCUCUUGCAACAGUAUGUCAUGCAUGUCCUUUUAAUACUUUUAAAUAUAAUUAAUUUACAUAUGUUCAUGUGUAGUUAUGCUCGCAUAAUUCUUUAACCUUUGCUUAUGCAGAUUGAAAGAAAAAAAAAAGAAAAAAAAAGUUCUUAUGGUAAUUAGCAUGUUGAUUAAUGUCUUAUUGUGUAUGAUUAAUACGUAAUUAGCGUUUCGGAGCUUCCUCCGGUGGACAUGUUUGUGACAACAGCAGAUGCAAAGCUAGAGCCACCUAUCAUUACUGUGAACACAGUGCUCUCACUUCUAGCCGUUGAUUAUCCAACUCACAAGCUAGCUUGCUAUGUAUCAGAUGAUGGGUGUUCACCUCUCACUCUGUACACUCUCAUUGAAGCCUCUAAAUUUGCGAAGCUUUGGGUACCCUUUUGCAAAAAGUACCAUGUUCAAGUUAGAGCACCAUUCAGAUACUUCUCUAACAAUCCCAUUUUGUCAAGUUAUAAUCUAUCAGGAUUCCAU
Molecule: long non-coding RNA, 15402 nt
Filed under: Malus domestica (apple)
Lineage: Eukaryota; Viridiplantae; Streptophyta; Magnoliopsida; Rosales; Rosaceae
Description: long non-coding RNA (MDOM_LNC017280)
Rfam family: Plant small nucleolar RNA U3 (bases 10787-10998)
Source: RNAcentral